AAAGCACAAGGUUAAUAAUUUCCUUCAAACUGAAACGUGUAAAACAAAAAGAGCUUUGUUUGACAGCAGGUUCUAAUCACAUCGUGUAAAAAGAACUAAUUAUAAUCGAAAAACUGAACCAAAGGAAAUUUGCCUUCAAUUCAGAUCAGGUCAUUGAAAGUGAGAUAAAGAUAAUGUGACGGGCUGUUUGAUGUCCCAUUUGAGUGAAAGUGGGACAAUCUGCUCGUCCUACUUGGUUUCCUCUCUUGUAUUAUCUCUGGACAGCUGCACUGAAUCCUAAAACAGAACGUAGAACUGUACACGAUGGUGUGUGUGUGCGUGUGUGUGUGUGGGCCCGCAGGUAACAAACCACGUGACGAGGAGCGGCGGCGGCGAGGUGCUGCCGGGCCUCGGUGCGUCGUGGAGUCACAUCCCCAGAACCAGAGUUCUGCUGGAGCGGCUGGAGGAGGCCGGGGCUGCCGGUCGCUCCAGUCUGCGCUCAGCAACACUGAUCAAGUCCUCCAGACAGCCGUGUCUCGUCAGAGAGCAGUUUGACUUGAAGUGGUGGAGUCGCUCCAAAGAAGGAACCUCCGGAAAAAGAAAACGGGACGAGACCGAUUCCUGACGAGAGCCAAUUAAAAAAUCCUCUGACAAACAAAAAAAAAAAAACCCAUCAAAGGGAGGUACGACGCGCCUCUUGCGGAUACACUCCCAGAUCCAGCUGGGGGAGACUCUCUGGGCCUGGCUGUUCUCCUCGGGCUCGGCCAGAGUGUGCGUGGCGGAGGAGGUGUCGUAGUCCUGCACGAUGUCCCCGUCGUACGCCACGAAGUAGCGCCUGAGUUUGUCGAAGUCCUGCACGGAGACGGGCAGGAAGAGCUUCACGCCGCUGAAGAUGUCCAGCAGCGUC
This is a non-coding RNA of Paralichthys olivaceus (Japanese flounder), 886 nucleotides long. The record is from RefSeq and is a predicted model, not a curated record. Lineage: Eukaryota; Metazoa; Chordata; Actinopteri; Pleuronectiformes; Paralichthyidae.